This 1495-nucleotide long non-coding RNA is filed under the name Equus caballus (horse). RNAcentral's name for it is "lncRNA (ENSECAG00000056841.1)". Lineage: Eukaryota; Metazoa; Chordata; Mammalia; Perissodactyla; Equidae. The record is from RNAcentral.
UAUAUCUCAAGAGUUAUUUGGAAGAGGAUUUUCAAAUUUUCACCACCAGAUUAAAAAAACUCUAGCUAUUAAUUUUAAAUUUUUAUUUCACUGUGUUGAGAAUGUGUUUUACUUUGGAAUUUGUAGAAAUCGUCAUUGUGCCUGAAUAUCAUGAUCAUAAUUUAAAUGUUCCAUGGGAUUAUUCUUUUCAUGAAUGCAAGGUUUUGACAGCUCCAAAUACCCGCGAAUACUUCCAAUCCAGGGGUCUUCCCCCGUGCUGGGCACUCCCACGCGCCAUCUCAUCAUCAUCACAGCUAUGCUACAUGGGUGGGACUCAGAUGCCCCCAUUUUCCAGAUAAGGAAACUGACACCUGCGCAGGUGGCCAGAGCCCAGCCUCCCUCCCUCGCCUGAGCUCCUGCUUGUGCCAAGUCCUGAGGAAGAUGCUGGACCAGCACAUAGUCUGAUGGGGGAAACAGGGUCACGGGUGGGCUGCCUCCACAGUCAGCCUUCUCCUACACUCAGAGAACACAGCGGAGUGAGUGCCCAGCCCUCCUGUGGGACCCUCAGCAGCUGCUCUGUGCUGGCCCUUCUGCUGAGUGCUGUGAGGGUCUCUGAGGUGGCCUGGUGAUGAGUCUGGAUUUCUACAAGUCACAGAAACCUGACCAUGAUGGCUUAAACACAGACAGUCUUGCAGGAGGUGGUUCAAGCUGUGGCAGCCUCUUGAGAUGUCCUUCCGAUUUUCUGCUCCACUAUCCUCAGCAUGUGGAUUUCAUCCUUACGGCACAAAAUGGCUGCUUCACCUGCAGGAGACUCCGAAUUCCAUUUCACUGGCCAGCAAUGGGUCAAGUGGUCCAGCUAGCCGAAGAGGAGUCUGGGAGCGGCAGUGUCCUUUGCAUCGGAGCCCCUCCGUGGCCCCUGGAGCCAGAGAGGCUGGACGUGUCCACUUUCGCCCCAGCGCCAGGUGCUUUUCCCAUCUUCUCCUAGCCACGCCGAGAGAGGCAGUGCCAGCACGGCCCUUUCCACAGAGGGGGAAACAAGAGGCUCAGUCGCUUUCCCAAGCCGGUGGCUCUGGGAUGUGGCACAGAGAAGCCGAGGUGCCUCCUGGGGCGGUUGUUUAUCGAGCCCUCAUGAUGUGCCAGGCACCGCCUGGACGCCACAGCAAACUCUCUGCCCUCAAGGGGCCCACAUUCCCAGAUGAGACAGGAGCCGGGCAUUAACCCAACCGAGACGGCAUGGAAGAGGAGCUGACAGGGCUCAGCGUGGUGCAGUGACCCACCCAUGUCGACACAGGGAGGAGCAGGAGAGGCAAGAUGUCCACUGAAUUCCUGCAAAGACAUGGCUUGCUCCAGGACGUGGGGGCCUCUGUCCUCACGGUGCCCCCGUCUGGGAGGGCUGACCUCCAAAGCGGUCACCUGUGAUGCCCAUAGCAGUGGGCUCUUUCCAAGGUCAGGAAAGGGCAGGUGGCGCUGUCGGGGGGCCGGGCCUCUCCGGGAAGAGCCUGGUGCCAGACAUGGG